Long non-coding RNA from Pezoporus occidentalis (night parrot), 1204 nucleotides. RefSeq lists it as uncharacterized. The transcript is spliced from 2 exons. Lineage: Eukaryota; Metazoa; Chordata; Aves; Psittaciformes; Psittacidae. The record is from RefSeq and is a predicted model, not a curated record.
GCCUGGUAUGCUGCUUUCACCUUCUCACAUGGCUUCUGCCCCACCUCUGAUAUGAUUUACUCCUUUCUCAUUUCAGAGUUUUUUGCUUCUUUCCUUCCACCAGCUUUUUUUCUGAUUGUGGCUUCUUGCUUUUAUUUUCCCUGGUGCAGUAUUGGCCCAUACUCAAAGUAGCAAGGCCAGUAGUAAUCUAUGAGUUUCUGUCUGUGCCUGCAAGCUUUAAUGCUUUCUGUGGCAGUGAACGGGACUAUAUGAUCCAUAACAGUUGAAAAAUAUCCUGAUAAUAAACUGGCAUGUUCCAACUUUAAUAGGAUAAAAAUAAAUAAUGCACUGCACUAGUAACAGAUCUGUAGUCAUCCAGGUUUAAAAUAACUAGAUAUAAUGUAGUAUUGUCCAUGGUGCUCAUGCUUUACACCUUUUUCAGCAUUGACAACAGUGAUGCGGUAUGGGCUGCCUAAUGUGGCAGGGAAAGCAUGGUUAGCCCAGACACCCUCUGGCUCUUCUGUGAAACCACUGUUUGCUAAACAGCCACCAACAGUCUGUGAAAAAAAAAUAGCAUCUUGCUCGAUACAAAGGCUCUUUGCCCUGUAUGGUUUGGGGCUGCUGUUUUAGAGCUACAUUGCUAAUUUUUAACCUCAAACAUGACAAUCACCAUGAGGUUGAAAAAGUAGCAACACUUUAUCCUGUAUAAGUGCAAUGCAUAUAUACCCUGCCAUACUGUUCAGCUGCUGGAAUUACCAACAUUUGUUUAUUCAUUCCUCUUAGUAAAAACAAGGAUGUCUGCUGGCUUGGUGCAGCAGCUUCGGAGAAGCUGGUGGGGGAAGGCAAAAAGGAAAUCAAGGUAUAUAGCAGGAACUGUCCAUCUGUGUGAGAGCUGCAGUCAGAGGGGUGGUGUGUGACUGACAGUGGGUCAUCUGAGCAUUUCUACACUGUGGAAGCGCGUUGUCUGCCUACAGCAGACUUUCACCAAUGGAGAGGAAAAUACUUCUAUAUGGAAGAAACUAGAACAUGUGGAGAAGACAAUGAACUUCUAACUUCCUGGAUCAUACGAAAACACGUAAAAGAAUACAUUUAUGUAUACAUGGCUCAGUUAUAUUUAUUUAGAAGACCUUAAGCUUUUUAUUAACAGCUUAGAUGACAACUUGUAUGUUUAUAUCUGAUUCUGAACACUUUAGACAAGAUAAUUCAAUUAAACAAUUUUAAAAGC